Molecule: ribosomal RNA, 253 nt
Filed under: uncultured bacterium
Lineage: Bacteria
Description: partial 16S ribosomal RNA
Rfam family: Bacterial small subunit ribosomal RNA
Source: RNAcentral
UACAGGGGGGGCAAGCGUUGUUCGGAAUUACUGGGCGUAAAGGGCCCGUAGGCGGCCAACUAAGUCACACGUGAAAUCCCCAGGCUUAACCUGGGAACUGCGUGUGAUACUGGAUGGCUUGAAUUCGGGAGAGGGAUGCAGAAUUCCAGGUGUAGCGGUGAAAUGCGUAGAUAUCUGGAGGAACACCGGUGGCGAAGGCGGCAUCCUGGACCAACACUGACACUGAGGAGCGAAAGCCAGGGGAGCAAACGGG